CAACCACCAUCGGAUCUGAAUCGAACCACCACCGUCAUCACUAUGCUCUACAUGCUCAUCCAUGGAAAAAAGUAUGCAUUUUGUUUAACCACCUAGUUUUGAAGUUGAACAACCACCCAGAUUCAAUGGGCUGCAAUCAAUAGAUUGUCAACAUUUGAACGGUUGAGAUCAUCUUUGUUCGAUGAAGAAGAUGGAAAGAAGGUGGUUGGCGUCACUAAACUCCUUCCUCCUGAGAGACACAUGUUCAUUGAGAAGCUCAUUAAACAUAUUGCUUUCUGUUAUGCAACUGAUCUGGAUACAUUGUGGUUCAAUAAUAAUUGUGCGACGAAGAUUUAAUGGAUCUGGAUUUGUAGAAGUGAUAGUUACAAAUGGAACAUUUUUUCUGCAAUUACAUGUAUUUUUUUUAUCAGUAAUACAUUACAUUUUUUGUA
Helianthus annuus (common sunflower) is the source of this 431-nucleotide long non-coding RNA. RefSeq lists it as uncharacterized. The record is from RefSeq and is a predicted model, not a curated record. The transcript is spliced from 2 exons. NCBI's taxonomy places the organism in Eukaryota, Viridiplantae, Streptophyta, Magnoliopsida, Asterales, Asteraceae.